This is a long non-coding RNA of Odocoileus virginianus texanus, 329 nucleotides long. RefSeq lists it as uncharacterized. Lineage: Eukaryota; Metazoa; Chordata; Mammalia; Artiodactyla; Cervidae. The record is from RefSeq and is a predicted model, not a curated record.
GAGACAGAACACCUUUUCGAGGCUAUCAGCUCCACUAUGCUGUGACAAUUAUGCCGAAAGACCUUGCUGUCCAUUCUCACCAAUGCUGCAAGUAAAGCUGUUACACAAAUGAUGACUCCAUCACAGGUGUUGAAGAUCCAGCUGUGAAUAUAACACACGUAAACUCUUGUGAUCCUGGGAUCUUCCCAACCCAGGAAUCAAGCCUGGAUCUCCUACUUUGCAGGCAUCACAACAUUUCAUUUCUCUGCUCCCUUUGAAGUAUCUCACCAAGAUUUGGAGCUUGAUGUGAUAAACAAAUAGGAAAACAAUCUGGGAAUACUUUCAGGUAA